RNAcentral lists this non-coding RNA (26 nucleotides) under Cricetulus griseus (Chinese hamster). Lineage: Eukaryota; Metazoa; Chordata; Mammalia; Rodentia; Cricetidae. The record is from RNAcentral.
GGCAGAUAAAGAAUAUUGAAGCUCCG